GUAGGUGGCAAGCGUUGUCCGGAAUUAUUGGGCGUAAAGCGCGCGCAGGCGGUUCUUUAAGUCUGAUGUGAAAGCCCACGGGCUCAACCGUGGAGGGUCAUUGGAAACUGGAGAACUUGAGUACAGAAGAGGAAAGCGGAAUUCCACGUGUAGCGGUGAAAUGCGUAGAGAUGUGGAGGAACACCAGUGGCGAAGGCGGCUUUCUGGUCUGUAACUGACGCUGAGGCGCGAAAGCGUGGGGAGCAAACAGGAUUAGAUACCCUGGUAGUCCACGCCGUAAACGAGGAGUGCUAAGUGUUAGGGGGUUUCCGCCCCUUAGUGCUGCAGCUAACGCAUUAAGCACUCCGCCUGGGGAGUACGGCCGCAAAGGCUG
Molecule: ribosomal RNA, 373 nt
Filed under: uncultured organism
Description: partial 16S ribosomal RNA
Rfam family: Bacterial small subunit ribosomal RNA
Source: RNAcentral